GUCUUCGCAAUGUAACUUUCCAGAAAGAAAGCCCGAGUAACUGUAAUACAUCACGGAUGCGCUAAUUUGAUGAAGAUGAAAUGAAUGCUCCGUACAUGAACAGUAUUUGACACAGUGUCCUGAUUUGAAGACCUAAAGAGAACGGCGCGGCACUGUUAUUAGAUGACCCGUUAACUGAAGACUAUAUCUUUAGUCAGCGGCUGACCAUCGAAGGGCCUAGCCGAUUGAGUCUGGAAUCGACAGGAGAGAUAAAAUGCGUAUUUCUUGUCUGAAAUAAAGUGACGUCACCCAAAUUUUUUUUUGUUUUGCCGUCAUCGAUCUACGACCACGAAAAUCAGCUAGCCGAAUUCUUCAGUCCGGAAACAACCGCGCGGUAGAGCGGAC
Molecule: long non-coding RNA, 384 nt
Filed under: Neodiprion pinetum (white pine sawfly)
Lineage: Eukaryota; Metazoa; Arthropoda; Insecta; Hymenoptera; Diprionidae
Description: uncharacterized LOC124218503, transcript variant X2
Source: RNAcentral